CUUGAGAAUGUGACUAGACAGCUAGACCUUGAUGGUCAGGAGACAGGAGGCAAGAAGUCUGAAGAGGAACCUGAGAAGAGCAAAAGUCCUGAGAAAGAACAAGCAUUGAUCACAGGAGAGCAGGAACUAUCUGAGAUGCCACCACAUGCAGACAAACAAACAGAGGAUACACAUAGGGAGGAUCAAAUUGUGACUCAUGUGGAAGAGACGCCUAGUGGCCAGCCAACUGUCCCUCAGGCUGAACUCAAACGAAAACGUGGUGCUCCUGAGCCUACUGUAGAAGAAACACCAGCUAUAGCCCCUCAGGCUCCUCCAACACGUCCUGCUGAUACA
This is a long non-coding RNA of Penaeus indicus, 333 nucleotides long. RefSeq lists it as uncharacterized. The record is from RefSeq and is a predicted model, not a curated record. Lineage: Eukaryota; Metazoa; Arthropoda; Malacostraca; Decapoda; Penaeidae. The transcript is spliced from 3 exons.